RNAcentral lists this unclassified non-coding RNA (338 nucleotides) under soil metagenome. RNAcentral's name for it is "partial contains 5.8S ribosomal RNA, internal transcribed spacer 2, and large subunit ribosomal RNA". The stretch from base 3 to 119 matches the Rfam family "5.8S ribosomal RNA", at positions 38 to 154 of the family's 154-position model. The record is from RNAcentral.
GAGAAGAACGUAGUGAAAUGCGAUACGUUGUGUGAAUUGCAGAAUUCAGUGAAUCAUCGAAUCUUUGAACGCACAUUGCACCUCUCGGUAUUCCGGGAGGUAUGCCUGUUCGAGCGUCAUUUGUACCCUCAAGCUCUGCUUGGUGUUGGGUGUUUGUUCCGCCUCUGUGUGUGAACUCGCCUCAAAACAAUUGGCAGCCGGCGUACUUGUUUCGGAGCGCAGCACAUUUUGCGAUCCAGAUCAACGUACAGCGGCAUCCAAGAAGCCUUAUUUAACGCUCUUGACCUCGGAUCAGGUAGGGAUACCCGCUGAACUUAAGCAUAUCAAUAAGCGGAGGA